Molecule: ribosomal RNA, 577 nt
Filed under: Vishniacozyma victoriae
Lineage: Eukaryota; Fungi; Basidiomycota; Tremellomycetes; Tremellales; Bulleribasidiaceae
Description: eukaryotic LSU rRNA
Rfam family: Eukaryotic large subunit ribosomal RNA
Source: RNAcentral
GCGAGUGAACCGGGAUGAGCUCAAAUUUAAAAUCUGGCGUCUUUCAGGCGUCCGAGUUGUAAUCUAUAGAGGCGUUUUCCGCGCCGGACCGCGUCCAAGUCUCUUGGAAUAGAGUAUCAAAGAGGGUGACAAUCCCGUACUUGACGCGACAACCGGUGCUCUGUGAUACGUUCUCAAUGAGUCGAGUUGUUUGGGAAUGCAGCUCUAAAUGGGUGGUAAAUUCCAUCUAAGGCUAAAUAUUGGCGAGAGACCGAUAGCGAACAAGUACCGUGAGGGAAAGAUGAAAAGCACUUUGGAAAGAGAGUUAAACAGCACGUGAAAUUGUUAAAAGGGAAACGAUUGAAGUCAGUCGUGUGAAAGGUAUUCAGCCGUCUCUGGCGGUGUAUUUGCCUUUCACGGGUCAACAUCAGUUUGAUCCGGUAGAAAAAGGCAGGAGGAAGGUGGCACCCUCGGGUGUGUUAUAGCCUCUUGUCAUAUGUGCCGGACCAGACUGAGGAACGCAGCUUGCCGCAAGGCCGGGGUUCGCCCACGUACAAGCUUAGGAUGUUGACAUAAUGGCUUUAAACGACCCGUCUUG